UGGGGAAUCAUGGUCAAUGGGCGAAAGCCUGAACCUGCGACGCCGCGUGAGUGAUGAAGGUCGUAAGAUCGUAAAACUCUUUUCAGGGAUCUUAAAGCACAACCGUCAACAACGGCUGUGUGUGACUCUCCCUGGAAGAAGCCCCAGCCAACUACGUGCCAGCAGCUGCGGUAAUACGUAGGGGGCGAGCGUUAUUCGGAAUUACUGGGUGUAAAGGGUAUGUAGGCGGCCCUUCAAGUCGCGUGUCAAAGUCCAGUGCUCAACGCUGGGUGUGCGCGCGAUACUGACGGGCUUGAGGGCUGGAGAGGUUAGCGGAAUUCCCGGUGUAGUGAUAAAAUACGUAGAGAUCGGGAGGAACACCAGCGGCGAAGGCGUCUUACCAGAACGGACCUGACGGCAAGGGACGAAAGCUAGGGGCACGAACC
Molecule: ribosomal RNA, 425 nt
Filed under: uncultured prokaryote
Description: bacterial SSU rRNA
Rfam family: Bacterial small subunit ribosomal RNA
Source: RNAcentral